AGUGGGGUCAAAACGCUACUGAACACGGAACCUUUCCGGAUAUCAGCUCCAGGACUCAACAUCAUGGAGUAUACAGUGAAUUAUAGCGUGAUAAAGUUAUAAUUUUCACUAAAUUUUCAACUGCACACAAUUACCAGUGAACUGUGUGUAAAUCAUCAACUGCCUGUGUAUCAGCUGAUUUCUACACCAGCUUUACAUCCUGAGCAGAAGAUUGUCGUGGAGAGGACGGACCCUUGAUGCUCUGCCUUUUUGCACCAACAAUACAUACAUGUAUUUUAUUAAUUUGUAAAUAAAGUCUUUAAUAUAA
Molecule: long non-coding RNA, 307 nt
Organism: Clarias gariepinus (North African catfish)
Lineage: Eukaryota; Metazoa; Chordata; Actinopteri; Siluriformes; Clariidae
Exons: 3
Source: RefSeq, a predicted model, not a curated record